RNAcentral lists this ribosomal RNA (769 nucleotides) under alpha proteobacterium SCGC AAA003-C02. Its description in RNAcentral is "SSU rRNA". It matches the Rfam family "Bacterial small subunit ribosomal RNA", at positions 56 to 873 of the family's 1533-position model. Lineage: Bacteria; Pseudomonadati; Pseudomonadota; Alphaproteobacteria. The record is from RNAcentral.
UGCAAGUCGAACGAAGUAGCAAUACUUAGUGGCAAACGGGUGAGUAAUAUGUGGGAAUCUGCCUAUCGGUCUGGAAUAACAUGAGGAAACUUAUGCUAAUACCGGAUAAGCCUUUACAGGGAAAGCUUUAUGCUCCGAUAGAUGAGCCCAUACUUGAUUAGUUAGUUGGUAAGGUAAUGGCUUACCAAGACGAUGAUCAAUAGCUGAUUUGAGAGGAUGAUCAGCCACAUUGGGACUGAGACACGGCCCAAACUCCUACGGGAGGCAGCAGUGGGGAAUCUUGCACAAUGGGGGAAACCCUGAUGCAGCGAUGCCGCGUGAGUGAAGAAGGCCUUUGGGUUGUAAAGCUCUUUCGUCGGGGAAGAAAAUGACUGUACCCGAAUAAGAAGGUCCGGCUAACUUCGUGCCAGCAGCCGCGGUAAUACGAAGGGACCUAGCGUAGUUCGGAAUUACUGGGCUUAAAGAGCACGUAGGUGGUUAAAAAAGUUGGUGGUGAAAUCCCAGAGCUUAACUCUGGAACUGCCAUCAAAACUUUUUAGCUAGAGCAUGAUAGAGGAAAGUAGAAUUUCUAGUGUAGAGGUGAAAUUCGUAGAUAUUAGAAAGAAUACCAAUUGCGAAGGCAACUUUCUGGAUCAUUGCUGACACUGAGGUGCGAAAGCAUGGGUAGCGAAGAGGAUUAGAUACCCUCGUAGUCCAUGCCGUAAACGAUGUGUGCUAGACGUUGGAAAUUUAUUUUCAGUGUCGCAGCAAAAGCGUUAAGCACACCGCC